Molecule: long non-coding RNA, 512 nt
Organism: Cyprinodon tularosa
Lineage: Eukaryota; Metazoa; Chordata; Actinopteri; Cyprinodontiformes; Cyprinodontidae
Exons: 3
Source: RefSeq, a predicted model, not a curated record
UUCAUGGUUUCAGAGUCUGAUAUCUUCAUAAAUCCCUAAGGCAGCUGACAACAGGGCUGAUAAACCCUGCAAGGAGGAGAGGAAGUGUACGUCUCUGGGUGUGCUGUGAGCUGGGGCCCACGGUAACAUUAGAUGUGUAGAUGGGGGUGGCGAAAAGUGUUGCAGUCAACAAGUCAGCCAUUAGAGAGAGAUAAUCUCUCGUCAGACUGCAUCCAAGCCAACUUCUUCUCCUUCUCCUCCCUCCUUUUAUGGGACUCUGUAAUUAAGGAAUGUCAGCGAGUCUCCUUCUCCAGAUAUUUUGUCUCAGACACACAUGGAUGCUCAAGGUUAUUCAGAAGUGCAUUAGAAGGUUGGACUCCCAGAUGGUGGUCUGAGUGAAGAGGAUGGCCUCUUCAGAUGAAGAGCGGGUAUUUAAAACACUUUUAUCUGAUUGGCUGAGUGGCAUCCUGGGAACUUCUCCCAGUGCAGGAUGUGAGUGCUUAUCCACUGUGGAUAAUGAUUACUUGGCAGAG